UUCAUUCACCCUCAACCCAACUUCAAUUAUUGUAUGCUUAGUUUGCGUGACAAUGAGAACACAUAAUUGAUCAAUAGGGUUAUCUACUGUAGACGUUCCUGAACUUUGCCCACAGUUGCAAUUGGUCCGUGAACUUUUUUUGAGGCAAUUGCAUCCCUUAACUCGACAAUCAGUUCCAAUUAGGUCAUGCCAUCCAACUCUGUCAAUUUGCCGUCAAAAUAAGGGGUUAAAGCGUCCUUUCGAGUCUGAAGACUCUCCUUCACUUUUUUCUUUCGGUCUGAAACUCUCAUUCGCUUCAUAACCCUGAAUUUGAGAAAUCCCCAAAAUGAAGAACUGAAAGGGGGCUGUGCAUCCGAAAUUGCAAUGUAAGGGAAAAUGUUGAAGAGUUCGACAGAUACAAAUUGCAGCCGUCGUUACUGCAAGUGUGGGUUGGAAAUCAAACGCCGGACUUCAUGGAUAAAUCUGAAUCUUGAAAGAAGAUUUGAGGCAUGUUGCAACAAUCGGUAAAAUGGGGUUGCAUUUUUCUGCAUGGGUGGAGAAUGAAACAUGCCCACGAGGAAAAGAAAUCUUGCCUGGGUUACUUAGAAGACUAAGAGGAACGAAGGACGAAUUGAGAGCAACGGCGGAGAACUUCAGAUUGAUGGAAGAAGAGAAGAACAAAUUAGAGCGAAAACCGUGAGAAGAAGAAGAAGAAAUCAAGAUUUUGAAAAAACAUAUUCUGGGAAUGGGUAAACAAGUUGUUGUACUAGAAGGGGAAAUUUUGAGUUAUCGACAAAGACAAAGGUGGUUAUGGGUUGUUGUUCUGUUGUGUUUUAUGUUCGUGAUAUUAUUCAUCAAUAUGGAUGAUUUGGUAGUUUAGAAAUGGGCAGGAAAUGGGCAUAAUGUUAUAUAUACUCUUCAAAAGCUUUUGAAAUGGGCAGGAAUUGGUAGUGUGGGUAGGAUAUGGGAAGGAAUUGCUAGUGUAGAAAUCUGGGCUGAAACCUGGUCAUAAGG
This is a long non-coding RNA of Prunus avium (sweet cherry), 993 nucleotides long. RefSeq lists it as uncharacterized. The record is from RefSeq and is a predicted model, not a curated record. NCBI's taxonomy places the organism in Eukaryota, Viridiplantae, Streptophyta, Magnoliopsida, Rosales, Rosaceae.